This 253-nucleotide ribosomal RNA is filed under the name uncultured bacterium. RNAcentral describes it as "partial 16S ribosomal RNA". It matches the Rfam family "Bacterial small subunit ribosomal RNA", at positions 524 to 776 of the family's 1533-position model. The record is from RNAcentral.
UACAGAGGUGGCAAGCGUUGUUCGGAAUUACUGGGCGUAAAGGGCGCGUAGGCGGCCUUCUAAGUCAGACGUGAGAUCCCCCGGCUUAACCUGGGAACUGCGUCUGAUACUGGGAGGCUUGAGUAUGGGAGAGGGAUGUAGAAUUCCAGGUGUAGCGGUGAAAUGCGUAGAUAUCGGGAAGAACAUCAGUGGCGAAGGCGGUCUGCUGGGCCGUUGCUGACGCUGAGGCGCGACAGCGUGGGGAGCAAACAGG